RNAcentral lists this ribosomal RNA (1106 nucleotides) under Aliidiomarina sp. Its description in RNAcentral is "bacterial SSU rRNA". It matches the Rfam family "Bacterial small subunit ribosomal RNA", at positions 94 to 1218 of the family's 1533-position model. The record is from RNAcentral. Lineage: Bacteria; Pseudomonadati; Pseudomonadota; Gammaproteobacteria; Alteromonadales; Idiomarinaceae.
AGCGGCGGACGGGUGAGUAAUACUUGGGGAUCUGCCUGAUGGCGGGGGACAACCACUGGAAACGGUGGCUAAUACCGCAUAAUGCCUACGGGCCAAAGUGUGGGACCUUCGGGCCACAUGCCAUCAGAUGAACCCAAGCGAGAUUAGCUAGUUGGUGAGGUAAUGGCUUACCAAGGCGACGAUCUCUAGCUGUUCUGAGAGGAUGAUCAGCCACACUGGGACUGAGACACGGCCCAGACUCCUACGGGAGGCAGCAGUGGGGAAUAUUGGACAAUGGGCGCAAGCCUGAUCCAGCCAUGCCGCGUGUGUGAAGAAGGCCUUCGGGUUGUAAAGCACUUUCAGUGGUGAGGAAGGGCAUGAAGUUAAUAGCUGGCUGGAUUGACGUUAGCCACAGAAGAAGCACCGGCUAACUCCGUGCCAGCAGCCGCGGUAAUACGGAGGGUGCGAGCGUUAAUCGGAAUUACUGGGCGUAAAGCGCACGUAGGCGGCCUGUUAAGCAAGAUGUGAAAGCCCAGGGCUCAACCUUGGAAUUGCAUUUUGAACUGGCAGGCUAGAGUUUUGAAGAGGGUGGUAGAAUUUCCAGUGUAGCGGUGAAAUGCGUAGAUUUUGGAAGGAAUACCAGUGGCGAAGGCGGCCACCUGGUCAAAAACUGACGCUGAGGAGCGAAAGCGUGGGGAGCAAACAGGAUUAGAUACCCUGGUAGUCCACGCCGUAAACGAUGUCAACUAGUUGUUCGUGUCUUUGAGACGUGAGUAACGCAGCUUACGCACUAAGUUGACCGCCUGGGGAGUACGGCCGCAAGGUUAAAACUCAAAUGAAUUGACGGGGGCCCGCACAAGCGGUGGAGCAUGUGGUUUAAUUCGAUGCAACGCGGAGAACCUUACCAUCCCUUGACAUCCAGAGAAUUUCUAGAGAUAGAUAAGUGCCUUCGGGACUCUGAGACAGUGCUGCAGGGUGUCGUCAGCUCGGGUUGGGAGAAUUUGGGUUAAUCCCGCACGAGGGCACCCUUUUCUUAUUGCGGCCGUAAGGUGGGAAUCUUGGGGACGGCGGGAUAACCGAGGAAAGGGGGGGGAACUCCGUCUCCUGGCCCUCCGGAGGGGGACACC